GACGAACCGUGCGAACGUUGUUCGGAUUCACUGGGCUUAAAGGGCGCGUAGGCGGGUGAUCAAGUCCGGGGUGAAAUCCUUCAGCUCAACUGGAGAAUAGCCUUGGAUACUGGUCGCCUCGAGGGAGGUAGGGGCGGGCGGAACUUCCGGUGGAGCGGUGAAAUGCGUAGAUAUCGGGAGGAACACCAGUGGCGAAGGCGGCUUUCUGGCCUGUUCUUGACGCUGAGGCGCGAAAGCCAGGGGAGCAAACGGG
Molecule: ribosomal RNA, 253 nt
Filed under: uncultured bacterium
Lineage: Bacteria
Description: partial 16S ribosomal RNA
Rfam family: Bacterial small subunit ribosomal RNA
Source: RNAcentral